This 2592-nucleotide unclassified non-coding RNA is filed under the name Hevea brasiliensis (rubber tree). Lineage: Eukaryota; Viridiplantae; Streptophyta; Magnoliopsida; Malpighiales; Euphorbiaceae. The record is from RNAcentral.
CUGCUCCCAAAUUUUCUGCCAAAGCACCUUCUCGAGGAGCUCCACAGUCCGCCUACUCAACCUAAGCAAAAUGGCAACGCCGGGACCGAACUUCGAGGGGAAUCCUCCAGUGGCGCCGCAACCGCCUGGGACGGACAUGACGGGGAUAUGCUUCAGAGACCAGCUAUGGCUGAACACCUACCCUCUCGAUCGAAACUUGAUAUUCGAUUACUUCGCGUUGUCCCCUUUUUAUGAUUGGACUUGCAAUAACGAGAAGCUUCGAUUACAGUCCAUUCACCCCCUCGAUCUCUCCCAGCUCACGUAAGUAUGUUUGAUUUAACCUAUGUACGUGUGGUUCAUUUGUUGUUUUGUUCUGGAAGGCUAUGAUUUUGUUUACAAAAUCAGAAUUUCAGUUUCAGAAUCUGAAAAUAAGAGCUUUUCAAUGGAAUUUUGUUAUGGUCUGAUUGGGCAUUAUUUCUUUCUUUCUGGGUUUUUAAUAGUGGAACAUCCAAUUAUCAAAAAUUUUUGGUUAAUUUUGUGAUAAUUGAUUGGCCAUUAUUGAUCUGCAUUUUCAAACAAUUUCUAUUCAAGAACUUGAAAUUUCUUUUUAUAUAAUUUUUUUAAGGAAAAUGACGGGCAUAGAAUACAUGCUGAGUGAAGUGAUGGAACCAAAUCUCUUUGUUAUUCGUAAACAGAAAAGGGAUAGUCCUGAGAAAGUCACACCAAUGCUGACUUAUUAUAUCUUGGAUGGAUCAAUAUACCAAGCACCGCAGCUUUGCAAUGUCUUUGCAGCUCGAAUUGUAAGCUGCUUUUCUUGUUCAUAACUUUGUUGUUCAUGAAAGCUGCACUUAUUUGGAUGAGUUUUGUAUUGCAGCAUCGUUUUAACAUUUGGAAAAGGAGAAUCGAUUAAUUUCGUUAUGGUUAUCAGAGAUUUCAUUUCUAUGUCUUGCAUCACAUGUGGAACUUUAAAAAAAAAUGUAGAAUAUAUGUGGAUGAUGUUCUUAAUUGCUGAAGUCAAAGCAAGAAGUUCCAAAGCACAUAUAGCAGUAGGUUGAUAUGUUGAUUGUGCUUGUAUCAAAAGAUGAAAAAUUAAAAAGCUUUAUGAGAUCAUAUUGUUAAGAUAAUCUGAUGUCUUUUUUCAUAAGGCAUUAUUCUAAGCUAUUCUUGAUUGACUUUAACCAUGUGGCAGGGACGAGCUCUUUAUUAUAUAUCAAAGGCCUUUACUACUGCUGCUUCAAAGUUGGAAAAGAUUGGAUAUGUUGAUGAAGGGGAGGGUGUGCCUUCUGAGUCAAAAGCUGGUAAAGACGUGAUUGACUUCAAGGAAGUUAAGCGAAUAGAUCAUAUCCUUGCCUCCUUACAGCGCAAGUUACCACCAGCCCCUCCACCACCACCAUUUCCAGAUGGCUAUGUUCUUCCAACAACAGAAGCAGAGAAAGGUGCUGAAACCCAGCAAGGAGUAGAGUCACAACCCUCUGUUGAUCCAAUCAUCGACCAAGGCCCUGCCAAGCGAAUGAAGUUUUGAAUUACAAAGCUUUUGUUUUUCUCAUUAGAAAGCAGAACUAUCCAUCCAAGGAACGGAAAUUUCUUUAGGAAAGUAAGCUGUUCAACUAAUUUCACACCUCCUCCUAACUAAUCUAAAAUUCUUACAUCUGAAAUGCCAAGUACAACGUAACGAUGUAGCAUGAGGAUACGUGUGUCAAUAUUCAAUCUUACUAUUUAUGCAUACAAUACGGUGUUAGCUACGUAGCAUGGAUGAUACAUGUUGGAAGUCAAUUUAAUUCUUGUGCUAUUUGCAUCUAUUUUUCAGAAAAAUAAAAGAGUAAGCGAAGAAAUGAGUCAAGACUAAGAGUGUCGGUGCUUCAGUUUUCAGCUUGUCACGAAUUCUUUUCGGACUCCUCAAUUAAGAUGCCAAAUCCAAACAUAAUUUUUCAAAAUGAACGUGUUUGAAUUGAAGUAGCGUUAGCUGUAAACUGGUAAAAAGGUGCAAUAACUGGCUUUCUCAGAUGAAGUGGUGCAAUUGGAGGCGUUGGUUGUGGUUGUAAUUCUGAGUACACCAUUGUACCAUCCCAAGAUAUUUUUAGUUGCAUUGCAGGCUGCUGCUACAGUGGCAUUAGUUGCAUUGCAGGACACUAGAAACUGGUGUGGCAUUAGUGGAAUUCUGGACUGGACAUAGCAACCGCCUGAUAACGACGCACAAGCGAGUCUCUCUGUCCCUGUAGCUGUACUCAACACAGGUUGCCACGUCAAGUGGGACCCAGAAGAGGGGUCACGUGCCGCAAUGAAAUUGUGGUGUCCAGCGCGAAGCUGACUCAGUCAUGACUUUGUGCGGGUCCCACACGCAAUAUUAAGAAAAAAAAAUUCCCACAGAUCACAAAACGUUAUAAGAUUUGGCGUGAAGGACUCCCAAACUUUUCCACAUUGGUUUGGAGGACUCCGAAGUUUACGUCUAAUAGUUUGAACCAAAUCUAAUCCUAUAAUAUAAUUAUAUUUAUUUUUUUCUAUAACGUAAUAUUUGCAGAAAAGGAUACAUAGUAAUAAGAAAAAGAAAAAAAAUAGUAAUAAAAUAUUACAAAUCCCAAAACAUAUUGUAUUCUUGCUGUUGCCAACUUGCAU